CGGGACGGGUGAGUAACGCGUGGGCAACCUGCCCUGUACAGGGGGAUAACACUUAGAAAUAGGUGCUAAUACCGCAUGAGCGCACAAAGGCGCAUGCCUAUGUGCGGGAAGCCCGCGAGGGCGGUACGGGAUGGGCCCGCGUCUGAUUAGCCAGUUGGCAGGGUAACGGCCUACCAAAGCGACGAUCAGUAGCCGGCCUGAGAGGGUGGACGGCCACAUUGGGACUGAGACACGGCCCAAACUCCUACGGAAGGCAGCAG
This 260-nucleotide ribosomal RNA is filed under the name uncultured bacterium. RNAcentral describes it as "partial 16S ribosomal RNA". It matches the Rfam family "Bacterial small subunit ribosomal RNA", at positions 98 to 354 of the family's 1533-position model. The record is from RNAcentral.